AGUCCCUACGGGAGGCAGCAGUGGGGAAUAUUGCACAAUGGGGGAAACCCUGAUGCAGCGACGCCGCGUGAGCGAAGAAGUAUUUCGGUAUGUAAAGCUCUAUCAGCAGGGAAGAAAAUGACGGUACCUGACUAAGAAGCCCCGGCUAAAUACGUGCCAGCAGCCGCGGUAAUACGUAUGGGGCAAGCGUUAUCCGGAGUGAUUGGGCGUAAAGGGUGCGUAGGCGGCCUGCUAAGUCUGGAGUGAAAGGUACCGGCUCAACCGGUACAGGCUCUGGAAACUGGCGGGCGAGAGAGCAGGAGAGG
RNAcentral lists this ribosomal RNA (305 nucleotides) under uncultured bacterium. RNAcentral describes it as "bacterial SSU rRNA". It matches the Rfam family "Bacterial small subunit ribosomal RNA", at positions 334 to 657 of the family's 1533-position model. The record is from RNAcentral.